Molecule: ribosomal RNA, 497 nt
Filed under: uncultured bacterium
Lineage: Bacteria
Description: partial 16S ribosomal RNA
Rfam family: Bacterial small subunit ribosomal RNA
Source: RNAcentral
GGGGGGCGGGGGCGGGGGGGCUGGGGGGGGGGGGGCGAGCGGGGAGGCGAGGAGGGUGCUGCUCGGACGUUAACGGCGGACGGGUGAGUAACACGUGGGUGACCUACCUAUCAGACUGGGAUAGCCUCGGGCCACCGGAGCUCAUGCCGGAUACUCUAUUUAACCGCAUGGUUCCAUAAUUCCAGACGGGUUUGCUGUCCCUGAUACCUGUGUCCGCGCCGCAUUAGCUAGUUGGUCAGGUAACGGCUUACCAAGGCAACUCUGCGUAGCCGACCUGAGCGGGUGAUCGGCCCCACUGGAACUGAGACACGGUCCAGACUCCUACGGGAGGCAGCAGUAGGGAAUCUUCCGCAAUGGGCGAAAGCCUGACGGAGCAACGCCGCGUGAGUGAUGAAGGUCUUCGGAUCGUAAAACUCUGUUAUUAGGGAAGAACAAAUGUGUAAGUAACUAUGCACGUCUUGACGGUACCUAAUCAGAAAGCCACGGCUAACUACGUG